This 274-nucleotide ribosomal RNA is filed under the name uncultured bacterium. RNAcentral's name for it is "partial 16S ribosomal RNA". It matches the Rfam family "Bacterial small subunit ribosomal RNA", at positions 523 to 796 of the family's 1533-position model. The record is from RNAcentral.
AUACGAAGGGUGCAAGCGUUACUCGGAAUUACUGGGCGUAAAGCGUGCGUAGGUGGUCGUUUAAGUCCGUUGUGAAAGCCCUGGGCUCAACCUGGGAACUGCAGUGGAUACUGGGCGACUAGAGUGUGGUAGAGGGUAGCGGAAUUCCUGGUGUAGCAGUGAAAUGCGUAGAGAUCAGGAGGAACAUCCAUGGCGAAGGCAGCUACCUGGACCAACACUGACACUGAGGCACGAAAGCGUGGGGAGCAAACAGGAUUAGAUACCCUAGUAGUCC